This 497-nucleotide ribosomal RNA is filed under the name uncultured bacterium. RNAcentral describes it as "partial 16S ribosomal RNA". It matches the Rfam family "Bacterial small subunit ribosomal RNA", at positions 28 to 507 of the family's 1533-position model. The record is from RNAcentral.
GAUGAACGCUGGUGGCGUGCCUAAUACAUGCAAGUCGAGCGAACAGACGAGGAGCUUGCUCCUCUGACGUUAGCGGCGGACGGGUGAGUAACACGUGGAUAACCUACCUAUAAGACUGGGAUAACUUCGGGAAACCGGAGCUAAUACCGGAUAAUAUAUUGAACCGCAUGGUUCAAUAGUGAAAGACGGUUUUGCUGUCACUUAUAGAUGGAUCCGCGCCGCAUUAGCUAGUUGGUAAGGUAACGGCUUACCAAGGCGACGAUGCGUAGCCGACCUGAGAGGGUGAUCGGCCACACUGGAACUGAGACACGGUCCAGACUCCUACGGGAGGCAGCAGUAGGGAAUCUUCCGCAAUGGGCGAAAGCUUGACGGAGCAACGCCGCGUGAGUGAUGAAGGUCUUCGGAUCGUAAAACUCUGUUAUUAGGGAAGAACAAAUGUGUAAGUAACUAUGCACGUCUUGACGGUACCUAAUCAGAAAGCCACGGCUAACUACGUG